UGCAUAUCAAAAAGCGGAGGAAAAGAAACCAACCGGGAUUGCCUCAGUAACGGCGAGUGAAGCGGCAAAAGCUCAAAUUUGGAAUCUAGGGCGCCCUCGGCGUCCGAGUUGUAAUUUGAAGACUCUAUCUUGGGAGGCGGCGCUGUCGAAGUUCCUUGGAACAGGACGUCACAGAGGGUGAGAAUCCCGUGCGAUGGCAGCCGCGGACCAUGUAAGUUAGUGUCGACGAGUCGAGUUGUUUGGGAAUGCAGCUCUAAGUGGGUGGUAAACUCCAUCUAAAGCUAAAUAUUGGCGAGAGACCGAUAGCGAACAAGUACAGUGAUGGAAAGAUGAAAAGAACUUUGAAAAGAGAGUGAAAAAGUACGUGAAAUUGUUGAAAGGGAAGGGCUUGAGAUCAGACAUGCCUUCGGGCAGGCCAGCAUCAGCUGGAAGGGGCAGACAAGGGCGCCGCAAUGUGGCCUGGCUUCGGCGAGGUGUUAUAGGCGGCGUCGAUGUGUCCACUUCCGGCUGAGGACCGCGCUUCGGCAAGGAUGCUGGCGUAAUGAUCCCCAGCCGCCCGUCUUG
The sequence is a ribosomal RNA, 564 nucleotides long. It matches the Rfam family "Eukaryotic large subunit ribosomal RNA", at positions 37 to 656 of the family's 3401-position model.